RNAcentral lists this ribosomal RNA (253 nucleotides) under uncultured bacterium. RNAcentral's name for it is "partial 16S ribosomal RNA". It matches the Rfam family "Bacterial small subunit ribosomal RNA", at positions 524 to 776 of the family's 1533-position model. The record is from RNAcentral.
UACGUAGGUGGCGAGCGUUGUCCGGAUUUACUGGGCGUAAAGAGCGCGCAGGCGGUCGAUUUAGUCGUGUGUGAAAGCCCCCGGCUCAACUGGGGAGGGUCACGCGAUACUGAUCGACUCGAAGGCAGGAGAGGGUAGUGGAAUUCCCGGUGUAGUGGUGAAAUGCGUAGAUAUCGGGAGGAACACCAGUGGCGAAGGCGAGUCCCUGGACAACACCUGACACUGAGGCACGAAAGCUAGGGGAGCAAACAGG